UACGUAGGGGGCUAGCGUUGUCCGGAUUUAUUGGGCGUAAAGAGCGUGUAGGCGGCCAGGUAGGUCUGCUGUGAAAACUCGAGGCUCAACCUCGAGACGUCGGCGGAAACCAUCUGGCUAGAGUCCGGAAGAGGAGAGUGGAAUUCCUGGUGUAGCGGUGAAAUGCGCAGAUAUCAGGAAGAACACCGGUGGCGAAGGCGGUCUGCUGGGCAGUUGCUGACACUGAGGCGCGACAGCGUGGGGAGCAAACAGG
Molecule: ribosomal RNA, 253 nt
Filed under: uncultured bacterium
Lineage: Bacteria
Description: partial 16S ribosomal RNA
Rfam family: Bacterial small subunit ribosomal RNA
Source: RNAcentral